This 524-nucleotide ribosomal RNA is filed under the name uncultured bacterium. RNAcentral describes it as "partial 16S ribosomal RNA". It matches the Rfam family "Bacterial small subunit ribosomal RNA", at positions 28 to 523 of the family's 1533-position model. The record is from RNAcentral.
GACGAACGCUGGCGGCGUGCCUAAUACAUGCAAGUCGAACGAAGCUGUUUUAACUGGUGCUUGCACCGACUUAAACAACUGAGUGGCGAACGGGUGAGUAACACGUGGGUAACCUGCCCCAAAGCGGGGGAUAACAUUUGGAAACAGAUGCUAAUACCGCAUAACCACAGAAACCACAUGGUUUCUGUGUCAAAGAUGGUUUCGGCUAUCACUUUGGGAUGGACCCGCGGCGUAUUAGCUAGUUGGUAAGGUAAUGGCUUACCAAGGCAAUGUUACGGAGCAGAACUGAGAGGUUGAUAGGCCACAUUGGGACUGAGACACUGCGCAAACUCCUACGAGAGGCAGCAGUAGGGAAUCUUCCACAAUGGACGAAAGUCUGAUGGAGCAACGCCGCGUGAGUGAAGAAGGUUUUCGGAUCGUAAAUCUCUGUUGUCAGAGAAGAACGUGUGCGAGAGUAACUGCUCGUGCAGUGACGGUAUCUGGCCAGAAAGCCACGGCUAACUACGUGCCAGCCGCCGCGGUAA